This 74-nucleotide transfer RNA is filed under the name Candidatus Colwellbacteria bacterium CG10_big_fil_rev_8_21_14_0_10_41_28. RNAcentral describes it as "tRNA-Arg". It matches the Rfam family "tRNA". From Rfam's summary of the family: Transfer RNA (tRNA) molecules are approximately 80 nucleotides in length. Their secondary structure includes four short double-helical elements and three loops (D, anti-codon, and T loops). The record is from RNAcentral. Lineage: Bacteria; Candidatus Colwelliibacteriota.
GUCCUCGUAGCUCAGUUGGAUAGAGCGUCAGUUUGCGGAACUGAAGGCCGCAGGUUCAAAUCCUGCCGAGGACA